Molecule: ribosomal RNA, 253 nt
Filed under: uncultured bacterium
Lineage: Bacteria
Description: partial 16S ribosomal RNA
Rfam family: Bacterial small subunit ribosomal RNA
Source: RNAcentral
UACGGGGGGUGCAAGCGUUAUUCGGAAUUAUUGGGCGUAAAGGGCGCGUAGGCGGUUGGAAAAGUCAGAUGUGAAAGCCCCGGGCUUAACCUGGGAAGUGCAUUUGAUACUAUUUGACUUGAGUAUGGGAGAGGGUAGUGGAAUUCCUGGUGUAGAGGUGAAAUUCGUAGAUAUCAGGAGGAACACCUGUGGCGAAGGCGGCUACCUGGACCAAUACUGACGCUGAGGCGCGAAGGCGUGGGGAGCAAACAGG